GGGUUGUGAGGUUAAGCGACUAAGCGUACACGGUGGAUGCCCUGGCAGUCAGAGGCGAUGAAGGGCGUGCUAAUCUGCGAUAAGCGCCGGUAAGGUGAUAUGAACCGUUAUAACCGGCGAUACCCGAAUGGGGAAACCCAGUGUGAUUCGUCACACUAUCAUUAACUGAAUCCAUAGGUUAAUGAGGCGAACCGGGGGAACUGAAACAUCUAAGUACCCCGAGGAAAAGAAAUCAACCGAGAUUCCCCCAGUAGCGGCGAGCGAACGGGGAGGAGCCCAGAGCCUGAAUCAGCAUGUGUGUUAGUGGAAGCGUCUGGAAAGGCGCGCGAUACAGGGUGACAGCCCCGUACACAAAAGCGCAUGUGCUGUGAGCUCGAUGAGUAGGGCGGGACACGUGGUAUCCUGUCUGAAUAUGGGGGGACCAUCCUCCAAGGCUAAAUACUCCUGACUGACCGAUAGUGAACCAGUACCGUGAGGGAAAGGCGAAAAGAACCCCGGCGAGGGGAGUGAAAAAGAACCUGAAACCGUGUACGUACAAGCAGUGGGAGCCCCACCACCAAAGCAUUCUCUGGUGUUGAAGGCCCUGCAAAGCAGCAUCGCGGUGGCGGAGCGUCGUUUGCGACGCCCAACACACAAAACAAGCGGUGAAUGCUUUGGGGUGGGGUGACUGCGUACCUUUUGUAUAAUGGGUCAGCGACUUAUAUUCUGUAGCAAGGUUAACCGAAUAGGGGAGCCGGAGGGAAACCGAGUCUUAAUUGGGCGUUAAGUUGCAGGGUAUAGACCCGAAACCCGGUGAUCUAGCCAUGGGCAGGUUGAAGGUUGGGUAACACUAACUGGAGGACCGAACCGACUAAUGUUGAAAAAUUAGCGGAUGACCUGUGGCUGGGGGUGAAAGGCCAAUCAAACCGGGAGAUAGCUGGUUCUCCCCGAAAGCUAUUUAGGUAGCGCCUCGUGAAUUCAUCUCCGGGGGUAGAGCACUGUUUCGGCUAGGGGGCCAUCCCGGCUUACCAACCCGAUGCAAACUGCGAAUACCGGAGAAUGUUAUCACGGGAGACACACGGCGGGUGCUAACGUCCGUCGUGAAGAGGGAAACAACCCAGACCGCCAGCUAAGGUCCCAAAGUCAUGGUUAAGUGGGAAACGAUGUGGGAAGGCCCAGACAGCCAGGAUGUUGGCUUAGAAGCAGCCAUCAUUUAAAGAAAGCGUAAUAGCUCACUGGUCGAGUCGGCCUGCGCGGAAGAUGUAACGGGGCUAAACCAUGCACCGAAGCUGCGGCAGCGAACGUAUCACCCAAGACAACUUUACGGAGUUGACGAUUGACGGAGCGAAGCGACGUCAAAGCGUUCAUUAAAGUCGAGUUGGCUUAGGGAUACGUUCGUUGGGUAGGGGAGCGUUCUGUAAGCCUGUGAAGGUGUGUCGUGAGGCAUGCUGGAGGUAUCAGAAGUGCGAAUGCUGACAUAAGUAACGAUAAAGCGGGUGAAAAGCCCGCUCGCCGGAAGACCAAGGGUUCCUGUCCAACGUUAAUCGGGGCAGGGUGAGUCGACCCCUAAGGCGAGGCCGAAAGGCGUAGUCGAUGGGAAACGGGUUAAUAUUCCCGUACUUGGUGUUACUGCGAAGGGGGGACGGAGAAGGCUAUGUUGGCCGGGCGACGGUUGUCCCGGUUUAAGCGUGUAGGUGUGUGUUCCAGGUAAAUCCGGUUCACUUUAACACUGAGGCGUGACGACGAGGCACUACGGUGCUGAAGCAACAAAUGCCCUGCUUCCAGGAAAAGCCUCUAAGCAUCAGGUAACACGAAAUCGUACCCCAAACCGACACAGGUGGUCAGGUAGAGAAUACCAAGGCGCUUGAGAGAACUCGGGUGAAGGAACUAGGCAAAAUGGUGCCGUAACUUCGGGAGAAGGCACGCUGACACGUAGGUGAAGUGAUUUACUCAUGGAGCUGAAGUCAGUCGAAGAUACCAGCUGGCUGCAACUGUUUAUUAAAAACACAGCACUGUGCAAACACGAAAGUGGACGUAUACGGUGUGACGCCUGCCCGGUGCCGGAAGGUUAAUUGAUGGGGUCAGCGCAAGCGAAGCUCCUGAUCGAAGCCCCGGUAAACGGCGGCCGUAACUAUAACGGUCCUAAGGUAGCGAAAUUCCUUGUCGGGUAAGUUCCGACCUGCACGAAUGGCGUAAUGAUGGCCAGGCUGUCUCCACCCGAGACUCAGUGAAAUUGAACUCGCUGUGAAGAUGCAGUGUACCCGCGGCAAGACGGAAAGACCCCGUGAACCUUUACUAUAGCUUGACACUGAACAUUGAGCCUUGAUGUGUAGGAUAGGUGGGAGGCUUUGAAGUGUGGACGCCAGUCUGCAUGGAGCCGACCUUGAAAUACCACCCUUUAAUGUUUGAUGUUCUAACGUGGACCCGUAAUCCGGGUUGCGGACAGUGUCUGGUGGGUAGUUUGACUGGGGCGGUCUCCUCCUAAAGAGUAACGGAGGAGCACGAAGGUUGGCUAAUCCUGGUCGGACAUCAGGAGGUUAGUGCAAUGGCAUAAGCCAGCUUGACUGCGAGCGUGACGGCGCGAGCAGGUGCGAAAGCAGGUCAUAGUGAUCCGGUGGUUCUGAAUGGAAGGGCCAUCGCUCAACGGAUAAAAGGUACUCCGGGGAUAACAGGCUGAUACCGCCCAAGAGUUCAUAUCGACGGCGGUGUUUGGCACCUCGAUGUCGGCUCAUCACAUCCUGGGGCUGAAGUAGGUCCCAAGGGUAUGGCUGUUCGCCAUUUAAAGUGGUACGCGAGCUGGGUUUAGAACGUCGUGAGACAGUUCGGUCCCUAUCUGCCGUGGGCGCUGGAGAACUGAGGGGGGCUGCUCCUAGUACGAGAGGACCGGAGUGGACGCAUCACUGGUGUUCGGGUUGUCAUGCCAAUGGCACUGCCCGGUAGCUAAAUGCGGAAGAGAUAAGUGCUGAAAGCAUCUAAGCACGAAACUUGCCCCGAGAUGAGUUCUCCCUGAGACUUAGAGUCUCCUGAAGGAACGUUGAAGACGACGACGUUGAUAGGCCGGGUGUGUAAGCGCAGCGAUGCGUUGAGCUAACCGGUACUAAUGAACCGUGAGGCUUAACCUUACAACGCCGAAG
This 3113-nucleotide ribosomal RNA is filed under the name Salmonella enterica subsp. enterica serovar Typhimurium. RNAcentral describes it as "bacterial LSU rRNA". It matches the Rfam family "Bacterial large subunit ribosomal RNA". The record is from RNAcentral. Lineage: Bacteria; Pseudomonadati; Pseudomonadota; Gammaproteobacteria; Enterobacterales; Enterobacteriaceae.